Molecule: non-coding RNA, 73 nt
Organism: Potamilus streckersoni
Lineage: Eukaryota; Metazoa; Mollusca; Bivalvia; Unionida; Unionidae
Source: the annotation of a GenBank genome assembly
GCUCCAGUGGCCUAGUGGUUAGAGCACCAGCCUCUGAUGCGGGACGUUAUGGGUUCGAUCCCCAGUCGAGACA